CGCUGGGCGGGGCCAGCACUCAGAGGGACAGGAAUUUCCUUCUUCCUUUCCUACUUCCCCCUCAACCAAGAGGUGGGAGAGUGGGAAGAAGGCGCCAAGUGCACGCUGCUGGCGGUUGCAGCCCCCCAGAGGCCUGAGAUCCGACCACAGGACGGCCCUGCCUGGACCACGGACCUGGUCGGCCUGCCUGUUCAGGCGAUGUUGUGGAUGUCCCCGAACCCUAGUGCUCCCUGCUUCGGAUGAUGUAGGGCAGCAUCCACCUGAACGCACAUCACUACCAAGGCCAAGGUUUUGGAAGGAAGCCCUUCUCCUCUCCCAUCUCAAUAUUAUACCAUGGGACCCUGGGCCACGGGGCUCUGGCCGCCGACCCUGGAGCCCUGACCAGUGAACACAGCUGCCUGUCCUUUACCCUUGUGUCCAUCCAGGAGCGGCCUUCUGCCAGGGACCUGGUCGGCCUGCCUGUUGAGGCGAGGUUGUGGAUGUCCCCGGACCCUAGUGCUCCCUGCUUUGGAUGAUUUGGCAGAUCCAUCUGAAUGCACUUCACCACGGAGGCCAAGGUUUUGGAAGGAAGCCCUUCUCCUCUCCCAUCUCACUAUUAGACCAUGGGACGCUAGAAUAGGGGACUCAGGCUGCCGACCCUGGAGUCCUGACCAGUAUACACAGUUGUCUGCCCUUAUCCCUUGUGUCCACCUGGGAGCGGCCUUCUGCCAGGUGGGAACCCGGUGCUUGACCUAGGGUCCCAUUGAGUUGGGUGGUCUCCUCCCUUGUUUUCACACCUCCCUGUGUGCUCUCGGUUGUGGGACACCACCACCCCACCUCUCUAGCAUGUCUGGGGUUGCCCCGGCCAACGGGGUGUCAACAGGUGUGACCCACCUGCAGGAGAGAAUGAAAGGGAAAUGAAAGGGAUGGGGGAGACACGAAAGAAGACAACAAGACAGUGUGUUCUGAUCAAGCUGCAAGUAUUAUUCUCCUCAGCAAGGCUUAUAUAGCAUGGGAGAGGGAGGGGGCAGGUAGGAGGGAAGGGGUGCACGAUGUGCCAUUCGUACAGGUGAAGGGGGACAUGCAGGUGAAGGGGGACCUGCAAGUCGUGAGGGUGUUGUGCUAGGUGGUAAGUUCACUGGUCAGGGCCCAUUGUUCUGUUGCUAUGCUACCUGACCUGCCUGACCUGUUCUUUAUCUUUGGGGGCAUCUGGUUGAGGGCAGGGGCUUGUUCUCUGGCCCAGCUAGUACUUUUCCAUGGUCCAUGUUUGGUUGUUGAUAUCUCCCCCUUCUCUAUGUAUAGCAAAACAAAGAAAGGAGGCCCAAAUGUUUUUGCCGUGACAGGAGAGGGGUGACAGAGGCUCUAUCCCUGAUAAGUUCCAUUGUUAACUGUCAGUCCAUGUAGGCGUCCCCACGUGCCCUGAAGGAUGCUGGAACGAUGCAGUUUUUUUUUUUGUUUUUUUGUU
This is a long non-coding RNA of Peromyscus californicus insignis, 1444 nucleotides long. RefSeq lists it as uncharacterized. The record is from RefSeq and is a predicted model, not a curated record. The transcript is spliced from 3 exons. Lineage: Eukaryota; Metazoa; Chordata; Mammalia; Rodentia; Cricetidae.